CCUACGGGGUGCAGCAGUGAGGAAUAUUGGUCAAUGGACGGAAGUCUGAACCAGCCAUGCCGCGUGCAGGAAGACGGCUCUAUGAGUUGUAAACUGCUUUUGUACAAGGGUAAACCUGAAUACGUGUAUUCAGCAGACAGUACUUUACGAAUAAGGAUCGGCUAACUCCGUGCCAGCAGCCGCGGUAAUACGGAGGAUCCCAGCGUUAUCCGGAUUUGUUGGGUGUAAUGGGUGUGUAGGCGGAUUGGUAAGUUAGAUGUGAAAUGUCCGGGCUUAACUCGGGACCUGCCUCUGAUACUGUUGAUCUAGAGAGCAGGUGAGGUAGGCGGAAUGGAGGGUGUAGCGGUGAAAUGCUUAGAGAUCAUACAGAACACCGAUUGCGAAGGCAGCUUACCAAUCUAUAUCUGACGCUGAGGCACGAAAGCGUGGGGAGCAAACAGGAUUAGAUACCCUUGUAGUC
Molecule: ribosomal RNA, 460 nt
Filed under: uncultured bacterium
Lineage: Bacteria
Description: partial 16S ribosomal RNA
Rfam family: Bacterial small subunit ribosomal RNA
Source: RNAcentral